AUGAACGCUAGCGGCAGGCUUAACACAUGCAAGUCGAGGGGCAGCAUGAGACGGAGAUUCGUCAAAGUCUUGAUGGCGACCGGCGCAAGGGUGCGUAACGCGUGAGCAACUUGCCCGUUUCAGGGGGAUAACCGGUGGAAACGCCGACUAAUACCCCAUAGCAUUGAUUUCAGGCAUCUGUUAUCAAUUAAAGAAUUUCGGAAACGGAUAGGCUCGCGUGACAUUAGCUAGAUGGCGGGGUAACGGCCCACCAUGGCGACGAUGUCUUGGGGUUCUGAGAGGAAGGUCCCCCACACUGGAACUGAGACACGGUCCAGACUCCUACGGGAGGCAGCAGUGAGGAAUAUUGGUCAAUGGUCUGACGACUGAACCAGCCAUGCCGCGUGAAGGUGACGGCCCUAUGGGUCUUAAACUUCUUUUGCAAGGGAGCAAUAAGGCGUACGUGUACGUCGAUGAGAGUACCUUGCGAAUAAGCAUCGGCUAACUCCGUG
This 491-nucleotide ribosomal RNA is filed under the name uncultured bacterium. RNAcentral describes it as "bacterial SSU rRNA". It matches the Rfam family "Bacterial small subunit ribosomal RNA", at positions 29 to 507 of the family's 1533-position model. The record is from RNAcentral.